Molecule: long non-coding RNA, 432 nt
Organism: Asparagus officinalis (garden asparagus)
Lineage: Eukaryota; Viridiplantae; Streptophyta; Magnoliopsida; Asparagales; Asparagaceae
Exons: 3
Source: RefSeq, a predicted model, not a curated record
CCGCCCCGGCAUCACUCUCUCCCUCAUCAUCUCCCUCUGCGAUCGCGGAGUCAAUCCCGAAGCCCUAGCCGCCCUCGUCCGCGAGCUCUCUUGGUCAUCUUCAACUGCAAUCUUGGUCAUCAAAGGCAUGUCACGAUGUUGCUCUAGCCUUCAGGGGAAAUAUUGAGGUCUCUAUGGUGAUUUCGGAUUCUAACCCUUGCUAUGAAGACGCACAUAUGAAGCUUGCUGCAGUACUUUUAAUGUUGCUAUUGAGUCCAACUGAGUGUUAUGUUUGUUUCCUGAUCUUUUCUUUCUUCUGUCAUGAUCCUGUUCAUGCUUGAACAUUUGAAAGAUGGUAAAUUAGUGGACUAUGGUUGUGCUACUAUUUUGUUUAUAGACGAACUUACUACUCUUCUAGUUUAUCAAGUAAUUAAGUAGAUUGUCCUUACUAAU